UACGUAGGGUGCGAGCGUUAAUCGGAAUUACUGGGCGUAAAGCGUGCGCAGGCGGUUUUGUAAGCCAGAUGUGAAAUCCUCGGGCUCAACCUGGGAAUGGCAUUUGGGACUGCAAGGCUUGAGUGCGGCAGAGGAGACUGGAAUUCCUGGUGUAGCAGUGAAAUGCGUAGAUAUCAGGAGGAAUACCGAUGGCGAAGGCAGGUCUCUGGGCUGACACUGACGCUCAUGCACGAAAGCGUGGGGAGCAAACAGG
This 253-nucleotide ribosomal RNA is filed under the name uncultured bacterium. RNAcentral's name for it is "partial 16S ribosomal RNA". It matches the Rfam family "Bacterial small subunit ribosomal RNA", at positions 524 to 776 of the family's 1533-position model. The record is from RNAcentral.